RNAcentral lists this ribosomal RNA (468 nucleotides) under uncultured bacterium. RNAcentral describes it as "partial 16S ribosomal RNA". It matches the Rfam family "Bacterial small subunit ribosomal RNA", at positions 28 to 507 of the family's 1533-position model. The record is from RNAcentral.
GACGAACGCUGGCGGCGUGCUUAACACAUGCAAGUCGAACGGAAAGGCCCUGUUUUUGUGGGGUGCUCGGGUGGCGAACGGGUGAGUAACACGUGAGUUACCUGCCCUUGACUUUUGGAUAACUUCAGGAAACUGGGGCUAAUACCGGAUAGGAGCUCCUGCUGCAUGAUGGGGGAUGGAAAGUUUCUGCGGGUGGGGAUGGACUCGCGGCUUCUCCGCUUUGUGGUGGGGUAGUGGCUUACCAAGGCUUUGACGGGUCGCCGGCCUGAGGGGGUCACCGGCCACUUUGGGACUGAGAUACGGCAAAGUCCCCUAGGAGAGAGAACAGUGGGGAAUUGUACACAAGGGGGGGGAGCCUGGUACAGAAACGCCGCGCGCGGGAAGAGGGCCUGCGGGGUGUAAACCGCUUUCGCCUGUGACGGAGCGUGAGUGACGGUAAUAGGUAAAGAAGCACCGGCUAACUACGUG